UACAGAGGUGCCAAGCGUUAGGCGGAAUCACUGGGCUUAAAGCGUGUGUAGGCGGAUCGUUAAGUGUCUUGUGAAAUCCCACGGCUCACCCGUGGAACGGCUGGGCAUACUGGCGAUCUUGGGCCAACUAGGGGCAACUGGAACAAGCGGUGGAGCGGUGAAAUGCGUAGAUAUCGCUUGGAACGCCAAAGGUGAAAACAGGUUGCUGGGGUUGUGCCGACGCUGAGACACGAAAGCCAGGGGAGCAAACGGG
This 253-nucleotide ribosomal RNA is filed under the name uncultured bacterium. RNAcentral describes it as "partial 16S ribosomal RNA". It matches the Rfam family "Bacterial small subunit ribosomal RNA", at positions 524 to 776 of the family's 1533-position model. The record is from RNAcentral.